Molecule: ribosomal RNA, 327 nt
Filed under: uncultured eukaryote
Lineage: Eukaryota
Description: partial 18S ribosomal RNA
Rfam family: Eukaryotic small subunit ribosomal RNA
Source: RNAcentral
CCCUUAGAUGUUCUGGGCCGCACGCGCGCUACACUGACGAAUGCAACGAGCUUAUAACCUUGGCCGAAAGGUCUGGGUAAUCUCCAAAUUUCGUCGUGAUGGGGAUAGAUUAUUGCAAUUAUUAAUCUUCAACGAGGAAUGCCUAGUAAGCGCAAGUCAUCAGCUUGCGUUGAUUACGUCCCUGCCCUUUGUACACACCGCCCGUCGCUCCUACCGAUUGAAUGGUCCGGUGAAGGGUUCGGACCGUGGCCUUUGGACGGUUCGCCGUCUGUUGGCUGCGGGAAGUUCGUUAAACCUUAUCAUUUAGAGGAAGGAGAAGUCGUAACA